CCUACGGGAGACAGCAGUGAGGGAUAUUGGUCAAUGGGGGAAACCCUGAACCAGCAACGCAGCGUGAGGGAAGACGGUUUUCGGAUUGUAAACCUCUGUCCUCUGUGAAGUUGAUGACGGUAGCAGAGGAGGAAGCUACGGAUAACUACGUGCCAGCAGCCGCGGUAAUACGUAGGAAGCAGGGGUUGUCCGGAUUUACUGGGUGUAAUGGGUGCGUAGACGGCUUGGCAAGUCAGAAGUGAAAUCCAUGGGCUUAACCCUAGAACUGCUUUUGAUACUGCAAGGCUUGAGUGGAGUAGAGGUAGGCGGAAGUCCCGGUGUAGCGGUGAAAUGCUUAGAGAGCGGGAAGAACACCAGUGGCGAAGGCGGCCUGCUAAGCUCUAACUGACAUUGAGGCACGAAAGCGUGGGUAUCAAACAGGAUUAGAUACCCCUGUAGUC
This 440-nucleotide ribosomal RNA is filed under the name uncultured bacterium. RNAcentral describes it as "partial 16S ribosomal RNA". It matches the Rfam family "Bacterial small subunit ribosomal RNA", at positions 338 to 795 of the family's 1533-position model. The record is from RNAcentral.